This 63-nucleotide transfer RNA is filed under the name Dipodomys ordii (Ord's kangaroo rat). It matches the Rfam family "tRNA", at positions 5 to 66 of the family's 71-position model. From Rfam's summary of the family: Transfer RNA (tRNA) molecules are approximately 80 nucleotides in length. The record is from Rfam by way of RNAcentral. Lineage: Eukaryota; Metazoa; Chordata; Mammalia; Rodentia; Heteromyidae.
GUGUAGGUCAGUGGUAGAGCAUGUGCUUCAAAUGUACAAGGCCUUGGGUUCAAUCCCUGACAC